This 586-nucleotide ribosomal RNA is filed under the name uncultured bacterium. RNAcentral's name for it is "partial 16S ribosomal RNA". It matches the Rfam family "Bacterial small subunit ribosomal RNA", at positions 355 to 1375 of the family's 1533-position model. The record is from RNAcentral.
UGGGGAAUUUUGGACAAUGGGCGAAAGCCUGAUCCAGCAAUGCCGCGUGUGUGAAGAAGGCCUUCGGGUUGUAAAGCACUUUUGUCCGGAAAGAAAUCCUCUGGGUUAAUACCUCGGGGGGAUGACGGUACCGGAAGAAUAAGCACCGGCUAACUACGUGCCAGCAGCCGCGGUAAUACGUAGGGUGCAAGCGUUAAUCGGAAUUACUGGGCGUAAAGCGUGCGCAGGCGGUUUUGUAAGACGGAUGUGAAAUCCCCGGGCUUAACCUGGGAACUGCAUUCGUGACUGCAAGGCUAGAGUAUGGCAGAGGGGGGUAGAAUUCCACGUGUAGCAGUGAAAUGCGUAGAGAUGUGAAGGAAUACCGAUGGCGAAGGCAGCCCCCUGGGCCAAUACUGACGCUCAUGCACGAAAGCGUGGGGAGCAAACAGGAUUAGAUACCCUGGUAGUCCACGCCCUAAAACGAUGUCAACUAGUUGUUGGGGAUUCAUUUCCUUAGUAACGUAGCUAACGCGUGAAGUUGACCGCCUGGGGAGUACGGUCGCAAGAUUAAAACUCAAAUGAAUUGACGGGGUCAUAGCUGUUUCCU